RNAcentral lists this long non-coding RNA (326 nucleotides) under Elaeis guineensis (African oil palm). RNAcentral describes it as "long non-coding RNA (EGUI_LNC012627)". Lineage: Eukaryota; Viridiplantae; Streptophyta; Magnoliopsida; Arecales; Arecaceae. The record is from RNAcentral.
UGGUGAUGACCUCCAUCCCACUCUCCAUUUCAAUCGAGCAGUAUCUCCUCCCUCAUGCAUGAGUGUGACAGCCUCUUGAAUACCUUAUUUUCAUUCGUGGGUGAGCCCUGCAUCUUCUUUUGCCGAUAAUGCAUCUUUUAAUGAAUUAUUUUUCAUAUAAAAUCAUGAUUAUGAUGAUUAUUCUAUUAAUAUAUGUCUCUUUAGUGGCUGAUCGAUAGUUUUAGGAUUUUAUGGUCAUAAAUCAAUAUUUUUAGGAUUUUUUUCUCUAAUUUUUGUGGUCUCUCUAUCCUCGCAUAUUUUGUGGUCCUAUUUUUGAUAUGCGUGAG